RNAcentral lists this ribosomal RNA (388 nucleotides) under uncultured bacterium. RNAcentral describes it as "bacterial SSU rRNA". It matches the Rfam family "Bacterial small subunit ribosomal RNA", at positions 28 to 417 of the family's 1533-position model. The record is from RNAcentral.
GACGAACGCUGGCGGCGUGCUUAACACAUGCAAGUCGAGCGGUAAGGCCCUUUCGGGGGUACACGAGCGGCGAACGGGUGAGUAACACGUGGGUGACCCGCCCUCAGCUCUGGGAUAAGCCUGGGAAACCGGGUCUAAUACUGGAUAUGACUCCAUGACGCAUGUUGUGGGGUGGAAAGCCUUGUGCGGCUGAGGAUGGGCCCGCGGCCUAUCAGCUUGUUGGUGGGGUGAUGGCCUACCAAGGCGACGACGGGUAGCCGGCCUGAGAGGGCGACCGGCCACACUGGGACUGAGACACGGCCCAGACUCCUACGGGAGGCAGCAGUGGGGAAUCUUGCGCAAUGGGCGAAAGCCUGACGCAGCGACGCCGCGUGAGGGAUGACGGCCU